UCCCUGGUGGUCCAGCAGUUAAGACUCUGCACUUCCAGUGCAGGGAGCACAGGUUUGAUCCCUGGUCAGGGAA
Ovis aries (sheep) is the source of this 73-nucleotide transfer RNA. It matches the Rfam family "tRNA". Rfam says of the family: Transfer RNA (tRNA) molecules are approximately 80 nucleotides in length. Their secondary structure includes four short double-helical elements and three loops (D, anti-codon, and T loops). The record is from Rfam. NCBI's taxonomy places the organism in Eukaryota, Metazoa, Chordata, Mammalia, Artiodactyla, Bovidae.